RNAcentral lists this ribosomal RNA (273 nucleotides) under uncultured bacterium. RNAcentral describes it as "partial 16S ribosomal RNA". It matches the Rfam family "Bacterial small subunit ribosomal RNA", at positions 524 to 796 of the family's 1533-position model. The record is from RNAcentral.
UACGAAGGGGGCUAGCGUUGCUCGGAAUCACUGGGCGUAAAGGGCGCGUAGGCGGCCGAUUAAGUCGGGGGUGAAAGCCUGUGGCUCAACCACAGAAUUGCCUUCGAUACUGGUUGGCUUGAGACCGGAAGAGGACAGCGGAACUGCGAGUGUAGAGGUGAAAUUCGUAGAUAUUCGCAAGAACACCAGUGGCGAAGGCGGCUGUCUGGUCCGGUUCUGACGCUGAGGCGCGAAAGCGUGGGGAGCAAACAGGAUUAGAAACCCGAGUAGUCC